CCUACGGGAGGCAGCAGUGAGGAAUAUUGGUCAAUGGGCUUACGCCUGAACCAGCCAAGUCGCGUGAGGGAAGACUGCCCUAUGGGUUGUAAACCUCUUUUGUCAGGGAGCAACGCCGGCUACGUGUAGCCGGACUGAGAGUACCUGAAGAAAAAGCAUCGGCUAACUCCGUGCCAGCAGCCGCGGUAAUACGGAGGAUGCGAGCGUUAUCCGGAUUUAUGGGGUUUAAAGGGUGCGUAGGCGGAAUGCCAAGUCAGCGGUAAAAUCGCGGGGCUCAACCUCGCUCCGCCGUUGAAACUGGCGUUCUUGAGUGGGCGAGAAGUAGGCGGAAUGCGUGGUGUAGCGGUGAAAUGCAUAGAUAUCACGCAGAACUCCGAUUGCGAAGGCAGCAUACCGGCGCCCAACUGACGCUGAAGCACGAAAGCGUGGGUAUCGAACAGGAUUAGAUACCCUAGUAGUC
RNAcentral lists this ribosomal RNA (460 nucleotides) under uncultured bacterium. RNAcentral's name for it is "partial 16S ribosomal RNA". It matches the Rfam family "Bacterial small subunit ribosomal RNA", at positions 338 to 795 of the family's 1533-position model. The record is from RNAcentral.